Molecule: long non-coding RNA, 4983 nt
Filed under: Sorghum bicolor (sorghum)
Lineage: Eukaryota; Viridiplantae; Streptophyta; Magnoliopsida; Poales; Poaceae
Description: long non-coding RNA (SBIC_LNC018533)
Source: RNAcentral
CCUGUCAAGCUAUAGAGUAUGUGGAGCUAUAGGUGGGCUAAAACAAGGAACGAACUAGCACCACGUUAGUUAUAAAAGCGAGCUGAAUAAGCGUUCGACGAUGGUACUGUGCUGGUCCUAGGCUAGACCGUGCUAGAGAUGCGAGCCUGGACACAAAGGAAAACCACAACACACCCCCAAAAACAAGGUGGAACAAACCUAAAAUCAAUAUGAAAAACAGCCCCUUUUUUUUAAUCUUUUCUCUUUUUUUCUUUUUUUUUCUUUUUUUUUGGGCAACCUCAAAAACUGAUUAUAUGAACAAAAGAAUACAAAAGAGCAAUUCGCUACCCACACUUUUUUCCGAAAGUACAGGGGUAUUCUGGUAAAAAGAAGAGUAAGGCCGAACAAGUAUGGAGUUAUCUUGCUUUUUUUAUCACGUUGGUGGAACUCAGAUUGGAACUCUACUCGAUCCGGACCAAGACCACAAUUCAAUUCGGACUUCGCAACAGAUUCGACAGAGAGAAGAUAUGGUAAUACUCGGCUAUGUAUAGAUGGUGACAAGAACUCGAAACUCUAAAGGACUAGACACUAAGACCAGCAACUCGACACAAACCGAAGCAACGCAAAUUCAACAAGCCCUAACUAAAAAGGUACUAGCCAAGGCACAAAGGUUUAAUAGGAUUAUGGAAAAACUAAUCUACUAUAUUUUUUUUGGCUUUUCUGGACUAUAGGAAAUUAAUUAAAAACAGCAAAGGAUUAGAAGUCUCUCACCGAAGAACCUUGCUCUGAUUACCAACUGAUGCGAACCCGCUAGGGUUUUUGCCCGAUCUUUUGAUGAGAGACGGGGAUAACUCGAUUGGUGGAUGGAGAUGACGUUCACGGCCCGACUACAGCCCUCAAGACCGCGCCUUAGCAACCGAUACACCACGUCCAAUAGCCGUCACGAUCUUGUGGAGCGCGACAACCAGCCCCUAGGGCUCCCGUCCUGCAAGCAAUCAAAGAACUAGCAAGAACGAGGAAACAAGCACUGAAUUUGCAAGAUGAAUUGAAGGUUUUAAACUGAAUCUUAAUCAACAAUGGGGUUCCGAAGACAAAGAGACGAGCGGCUGUUCCUGCACGCGCGCCUACAAGCAAGUAGCGAAGGCUAAACUUGAUCUAAACAAAACCCAACCACCAUGGCGACUCUAGAGGGAUAUAAGUAGAUGUAUUGAUGACCAAAGAGGUGUUGGGGUCGUCCUCCAACCCUAGGACGCGUCCCUAAUGGACCCAACUUGAUACAUGAGCCAUCAGCCCAAAAUGAGGUGACGCAGCACCCUGGACAGCAAGACCUAUCGAUGGUAAUUGGAUCAUUUCCGCUGCUGCCGAACAGGUAUUGACAUGGGACUUGAUUCAUACGAAAGUAGACUUGAUAAGCUUUCCAACAAGUCCUGAAGCGCCUGAAUCCGAAUCCGUAUGCAACCGUGGUAACGGUCACAAGUUGGCGCUUUGCUGCUGUCCGAAUCCAGCGAGCGUGAGUCCUUCUCCCUUUCGGUCUUCUCCUUGGUUCCUAAUCAAAACAAGAGUGCACGCGUUUCCAUUGUCUAAACAAGAUGGACAUGAGCUUAUCAAGGAACACACUUGGUUAUUAAGUUGACGAACACGAGCACGAGUAAGAGGACCAGCUAUAGGUUGUGUCGGAGAGGAUGUAUCGCUGGUGUUGAUGUCCUCAUCAAGUUCUAUCAGGUGCGUCCAAAUUGAUUUAUGAGAAUAUGGUACGUUCUAUGCAAACCGUACACCUAUCUUUCAUCAAGAUUAGCACUAUCUCCAAACAGACCAAACCGGGCUUUCACUUGAGCCUCUUCACCUAGGAGUACCAUCAGGAACAUCCACAACGAUUUCUGAGCCUAUGGUGCACUGGGCACAAACCAUGCAACUAUCUUGCACCGAAACUAAUACUAUCUCCAACUGGACGGAAGCGAGAUUCCACCGAAACUAAUACUAUCUCCAACUUGACGGAAGCGAGAUUCCAUAUGAUAAACUUCAUCUAGUAGUUCCAUCGGGUGCAUCCACAGUUCCAUCAGGUGUGUCUAAAUUGAUUUUUGAGCAUAUGGUAUGUUCCAUGCAAACCGUGCACCUAUCUUUCAUCAAGAUUAGAACUAUCUCCAAACAGACAGAACCAAGAUUCCACAUGAGCCUCUUCACCAAGGAGUACCAUCGCAUGCGUCCAAAAUAGUUUCUUAGCCUAUGGUGCAUUAGGCACAAACCGUGUACCUAUCUUGCACCGAAACUAACACUAUCUCCAAAGAGACCGAAGUGAGAUUCUAUAUGACACACGUCAUCUAGGAGUUCUAUUGGGUGCUUCCAAAUAUAUUUCGAAGCAUAUGGUACGUUCGAUGCAAUUCGUGCACCUAUCUUGCAUCAAGAUUAGCACUAUCUCCAAACAAAGCAAACUGAGCUUCCACUUGAGCCUCUUUACCCAGGAGUAUCAUCGGGUGCAUCCAAAAUGGUUUCUUAGCCUAUGAUGCAUUAGGCGCAAACUAUGCAUCUAUCUUGCACCAAAACUAGCUCUGUCUCCAAAUAGACCAAAGCGAGAUUCCAUAUGACACAUGUCAUCUAGGAGUUCUAUUGGGUGCGUCCAAAUGGAUUUCUUAGCAUAUGGUAUGUUCCAUGCAAACCGUGCACCUAUCUUACAUCAAGAUUAGCACUAUCUCCAAACAGAUCAAACCGACCUUCCACUUGAGCCUCUUCACCUAGGAUUAUCAUCGGGUGCUUCCAUAAUGGUUUCUGAGCAUAUGGUGCAUUAUGCGCAAACGAUGCACCAAUCUUCCACCUCAACUAACAAUGUCUCCGAACAGAUUGAAGCGAGAUUCCAAAUGACACACAUGAUCUAGGAGUUCUAUCGGGUGCGUCCAAAUUGAUUUAUGAGGAUAUGGUACGUUCUAUGCAACCCGUACACCUACCUUUCAUCAAGAUUAGCACUAUCUCCAAAUAGACCGAACCGGGCUUUCACUUGAGCCUCUUCACCUAGGAGUACCAUCAGGAACAUCCACAACGAUUUCUGAGCCUAUGGUGCACUGGGCACAAACCAUGCAACUAUCUUGCACUGAAACUAAUACUAUUUCCAACUGGACGGAAGCGAGAUUCCAUAUGAUAAACUUCAUCUAGUAGUUCCAUCGGGUGCAUCCACAGUUCCAUCAGGUUUGUCCAAAUUGAUUUUUGAGCAUAUGGUAUGUUCCAUACAAACCGUGCACCUAUCUUGCAUCAAGAUUAGAACUAUCUCCAAACAGACAGAAUCAAGAUUCCACAUAAGCCUCUUCACCAAGGAGUACCAUCGCGUGCGUCCAAAAUAGUUUCUUAGCCUAUGGUGCAUUAGGCACAAACUGUGUACCUAUCUUGCACCGAAACUAACACUAUCUCCAAAGAGACCGAAGUGAGAUUCUAUAUGACACACGUCAUCUAGGAGUUCUAUUGGGUGCUUCCAAAUAUAUUUCUAAGCAUAUGGUAUGUUCGAUGCAAUUCGUGCACCUAUCUUGCAUCAAGAUUAGCACUAUCUCCAAACAAAGCAAACUGAGCUUCCACUUGAGCCCCUUUACCCAGGAGUAUCAUCGGGUGCAUCCAAAAUGGUUUCUUAGCCUAUGAUGCAUUAGGCGCAAACUGUGUACCUAUCUUGCACCAAAACUAACUCUGUCUCCAAAUAGACCAAAGCGAGAUUCCAUAUGACACAUGUCAUCUAGGUGUUCUAUUGCGAUGCAUCCAAAUAGAUUUCUUAGCAUAUGGUAUGUUCCAUGAAAACCGUUCACCUAUCUUGCAUCAAGAUUAGCACUAUCUCCAAACAGAUCGAACCGACCUUCAACUUGAGCCUCUUCACCUAGGAGUACUAUCGGGUGCUUCCAUAAUGGUUUACGAGCCUAUGGUGCAUUAUGCGCAAACCAUGCACCAAUCUUGCACCUAAACUGUCUCCAAACAGAUUGAAGCGAGAUUCCAUAUGACACACAUGAUCUAGGAGUUCUAUCGGGUGCAUCCAAAUUGAUUUCUGAGAAUACGGUACGUUCCAUGCAAACCGUACACCUAUCUUUCAUCAAGAUUAGCACUAUCUCCAAACAGACCGAACCGAGCUUUCACUUGAGCCUCUUCACCUAGGAGUACCAUCGGGAACUUCCACAACGAUUUCUGAGCCUAUGGUGCACUGGGCACAAACCAUGCAACUAACUUGCACCAAAACUAAUAUUAUCUCCAACUGGACUGAAGCGAGAUUCCAUAUGAUACACUUCAUCUAGUAGUUCCAUCGGGUGCAUCUACAGUUCCAUCGGGUGUGUCCAAAUUGAUUUCUGAGCAUAUGGUAUAUUCCAUGCAAACCAUGCACCUAUCUUGCAUCAAGAUUGGAACUAUCUUCAAAUAGACAGAACCAAGGCCCACAUGAGCCUCUUCACCAAGGAGUACCAUCGCGUGCGUCCAAAAUAGUUUCUUAGCCUAUGGUGCAUUUGGCACAAACCGUGUACCUAUCUUGCACCGAAACUAACACUAUCUCCAAAGAGACCGAAGUGAGAUUCUAUAUGACACACAUCAUCUAGGAGUUCUAUUGGGUGCUUCCAAAUAUAUUUCUAAGCAUAUGGUAUGUUCGAUGCAAUUCGUGCACCUAUCUUGCAUCAAGAUUAGCACUAUCUCCAAAUAAAGCAAACUGAGCUUCCACUUGAGCCCCUUUACCCAAGAGUAUCAUCGGGUACAUCCAAAAUUGAUGCAAGCCCGCUAGGGUUUUUGGCCUGAUCUUUCGAUGAGAGGCACUGGAUAACUCGAUUAGUGGAUGGAGAUGACGUUCACGGCCCGACUACAGCCCUCAAGACCGCGCCUUAGCAACCGAUACACCACGUCCAACAGCCGUCACGAUCUUGUGGAGCGCGACAACCAGCCCCUAGGGCUCCCGUCCUGCAAGCAAUCGAAGAACUAGCAAGAACGAGAAAACAAGCACUGAAUUUGCAAGAUGAAUUGAAGGUUUUAAACUGAAUCUUAAUCAACAAUGGGGUUCCG